AUCAUUAACAGGUUCUAAUGGUGUGAGCUUGCUAGCAUUGUCAUUGACAAUUCAGAUGUAUCAGAUUUGUACUCCAAAAGUUCCACGGAUACUGAAUCCUACUUAUCAUCUGACAUUGAGUCAGACUGAAACAUAUAUACUUUGUGUUGAAAUAAUAAUUAUAGUAAAACAAUUCUUUCCAAACUUAAAUCUGGGCACAAAUACAUUCAAUAUUCAACAAUAAUUAUAAAAUGUAAUUUUAUUCCUACCUAUAGUACUAAGAUUUUGGUACCCCUAGAAGUUCUGUUGUUUUUUUCGUACCCUCCUCAGAGGUUCUGGGUUUUUUUCGUACCCCCCAUAAAUAUCCUCCACACCCCAUAGUAAAUACUUUAUGACCGGUCCAUUAAAAUAUUGUUCAGGCUUGUUUUCAUCAACAUUGUUACAGGCUAGGUGUUUUUUGCAGUGUAUCAAUAUUGGCGUGACCACCAUAAAUCUUGUGAGUACUUCGUGUAAGGACAGAAAAACUCGUCUACGUUGUCGUAGGUGAGUUGUGUGCUUGAGUUACGCAGUACAACUCAAGUUGUAAGCAGGUUGCAACAGUUUUAGGCAGAAGUUGUGUGGUGUAAAUUGGCCUUUACGAUGCUGUAAAGUUAAAUGAACGCCAUUACUCUAUGUAUAAAAUAAAUUAAAACAUUUUUGGGAGGUUAUUUUAUUGGAUUUUUUCGAACAUUCUACAUGUACCGUGACUGAGAUAUUUUUACCAUUGCACUCAUAAACAUUCAUUAUUAAUGCGCAGUGGAGGUUAACUAUACGGUUAUUCUAGCUUACCCUUAUUGUCAUGUUUCGAUAUGCAAAUUUAUCAAGGACGGUGAAUUGCGUGGGUAGAUCGUUACGAUAUAAAAAGUGUGAAGUUACUUUUAUAUAGUUAGUUGGGGUUGACUACAGAACAAACUUUUUAUAUCGUCAUGUUUCGAUAUGCAAAUUUAUCAAGGACGGUGAAUUGCGUGGGUAGAUCGUUACGAUAUAAAAAGUGUGAAGUUACUUUUAUAUAGUUAGUUGGGGUUGACUACAGAACAAACUUUUUAUAUCGUCAUGUUUCGAUAUGCAAAUUUAUCAAGGACGGUGAAUUGCGUGGGUAGAUCGUUACGAUAUAAAAAGUGUGAAGUUACUUUUAUAUAGUUAGUUGGGGUUGACUACAGAACAAACUUUUUAUAUCGUCAUGUUUCGAUAUGCAAAUUUAUCAAGGACGGUGAAUUGCGUGGGUAGAUCGUUACGAUAUAAAAAGUGUGAAGUUACUUUUAUAUAGUUAGUUGGGGUUGACUACAGAACAAACUUUUUAUAUCGUCAUGUUUCGAUAUGCAAAUUUAUCAAGGACGGUGAAUUGCGUGGGUAGAUCGUUACGAUAUAAAAAGUGUGAAGUUACUUUUAUAUAGUUAGUUGGGGUUGACUACAGAACAAACUUUUUAUAUCGUCAUGUUUCGAUAUGCAAAUUUAUCAAGGACGGUGAAUUGCGUGGGUAGAUCGUUACGAUAUAAAAAGUGUGAAGUUACUUUUAUAUAGUUAGUUGG
RNAcentral lists this long non-coding RNA (1547 nucleotides) under Paramuricea clavata. Lineage: Eukaryota; Metazoa; Cnidaria; Anthozoa; Malacalcyonacea; Plexauridae. The record is from RNAcentral.